CCCUGUGCCCCAGAGAUGUGGUGGCUCAGUAGCUUGCCAGCCCAAAUUUAAUGGCUUAGCAUCUCCAAGGGGGCUGGGGUCAGGACAUAGGUAGGAGUAAAACCAAGCACAGGCUUGAAAAAUUGAUAAAUCGUACCAAAUAAUUUCUGAAAUCCAAUAUAUACCCUCCUGCCUUGUUGGUCAUUGUAGAUUAUUUCUUCACUGAUGGGUUUUUAUAAUCUGAACAGGGUGGUUUCCCAAAAUCCUGCAUCAGAUGUUUCCUCCAAGAAAGAUUGUGUCAAGAGAAUGGUAUUACAUGCCAGGAAGGUGAUGGGCCAGCCCACCUCUCAAGUAGGUGUGUCUCUGGCACAAGGGGCAUCACUUUGACAGCCCCAAAAGGAAAAUCUAGUUAUUUUGAUUCCUGUCUUUAGAAGAGCCUUUCCAUCUCCCAGAGCUACCAGGAGCAGGGGACAGAGAAGAUCCAUGA
This is a long non-coding RNA of Passer domesticus (house sparrow), 466 nucleotides long. RefSeq lists it as uncharacterized. Lineage: Eukaryota; Metazoa; Chordata; Aves; Passeriformes; Passeridae. The transcript has 3 exons. The record is from RefSeq and is a predicted model, not a curated record.